CAGUCGCCACGGUAAUACGUAGGGUGCGAGCGUCAAUCGGAAUUACUGGGCGUAAAGCGUGCGCAGGCGGUUAUAUAAGACAGAUGUGAAAUCCCCGGGCUCAACCUAGGACCUGCAUUUGUGACUGUAUAGCUAGAGUACGGUAGAGGGGGAUGGAAUUCCGCGUGUAGCAGUGAAAUGCGUAGAUAUGCGGAGGAACACCGAUGGCGAAGGCAAUCCCCUGGACCUGUACUGACGCUCAUGCACGAAAGCGUGGGGAGCAAACAGGAUUAGAGACCCCGGUAGUCCUUGUCUCUUAUAC
This 301-nucleotide ribosomal RNA is filed under the name uncultured bacterium. RNAcentral's name for it is "partial 16S ribosomal RNA". It matches the Rfam family "Bacterial small subunit ribosomal RNA", at positions 509 to 807 of the family's 1533-position model. The record is from RNAcentral.